UACGUAGGCAGCAAGCGUUGUUCGGAGUUACUGGGCGUAAAGGGUGCGUAGGCGGCUGUUUAAGUUUGGUGUGAAAUCUCCCGGCUCAACCGGGAGGGUGCGCCGAAUACUGAGUGGCUAGAGUGCGGGAGAGGAAAGUGGAAUUCCUGGUGUAGCGGUGAAAUGCGUAGAUACCAGGAGGAACACCGGUGGUGUAAACGGCUUUCUGGACCGUAACUGACGCUGAGGCACGAAAGCCAGGGGAGCAAACGGG
RNAcentral lists this ribosomal RNA (253 nucleotides) under uncultured bacterium. Its description in RNAcentral is "partial 16S ribosomal RNA". It matches the Rfam family "Bacterial small subunit ribosomal RNA", at positions 524 to 776 of the family's 1533-position model. The record is from RNAcentral.